UGAGAAAAUGUAAUGGAUCCCAGGGAUUUCUUUUAUAAGCAAGACUCCUGGAGAAGAAAAAUUAUAAGCAAGACUCCUGUCCACAGUUCGAUUUGAACUCAAAAUAAGAUCAUAAAUAAUUUGAAUUGGAUGAUUCUCUCUUCUUGAAUUGGAUUGAAAUCAAUUGGUCUGAAUUGGUGAAAUAAUUGCCUAUAACUUUCUCUAUGGGCUUUCAGUCAGCAUGGCUGCAAAAGUAAGGAUUAGUUCAGGGAUGUUAAACAAAGACACUUAUUGCUGCGGUUCCUCGUGAAAUGUUAAUGAUGGAUGUUAAACAAAGACACUUAUUGCUGCGGUUCCUCGUGAAAUGUUAAUGAU
RNAcentral lists this unclassified non-coding RNA (354 nucleotides) under Hevea brasiliensis (rubber tree). Lineage: Eukaryota; Viridiplantae; Streptophyta; Magnoliopsida; Malpighiales; Euphorbiaceae. The record is from RNAcentral.